RNAcentral lists this transfer RNA (68 nucleotides) under Marmota monax (woodchuck). RNAcentral describes it as "tRNA.Ala". Lineage: Eukaryota; Metazoa; Chordata; Mammalia; Rodentia; Sciuridae. The record is from RNAcentral.
GCUGUGACUCAGUGGUAGAGCACUUGCCUAGCAUGUGUGAGGCCCUGGGUUCCAUUCUCAGCACUGCA